Molecule: long non-coding RNA, 1029 nt
Filed under: Cebus imitator (Panamanian white-faced capuchin)
Lineage: Eukaryota; Metazoa; Chordata; Mammalia; Primates; Cebidae
Description: lncRNA (ENSCCAG00000038172.1)
Source: RNAcentral
UGCUGUGAGCUGAUAAAGCCCUAGUAUUAUUUCUGUGGAAUCUGUGCUCUUAAUAAUUUACAGGCAGCCCAGGUGCACUUUGGAUCUGAUCAGAUGGACUAAAUCUUGGGGACUCUGCACAAUUGACCACUCAGGGUUGGUAAUGUUUUCUGAGGACAAAAAAAGAAGAAAAAAUUAGAACCAGAAAAUUUGGUUGAAUCUAGCAUCGGAGAGAUGACCUUGGGACAGCCAGGAAGAGCUGGAACAGGGUUUAGUCACAGGCUCCUCACCCUCUGCCGAUGGGCAGGUGUGUGAGCUCCAGCAUGGAGCACCGCAGCACUAGGAGGGAAGAGGCUGAGAGUGUGGUGGGGCAGCCUGGGAGCUGGGGCAGUGCAGACAGACGAGCAACUGUUUCAUCACAGAUGCUUCUGUCCUUACCCAGCCCUUCUGCUCUGCAGGACAGGGAGGAAGUUCAGGAAAAUCAAGGCCCAGAACUCACUUGGCCCUUCCCCAGAGGACCAAGCCCUGAAUCAGGUGCAGUGCUACCUGCCUCACUGUGCCAUGAACCCUGGGCUCCUAUGCUGGACACUGCUUUGUCUCCUGGGAGCAGUCCCAGUGCAGGCUGAAGUCACCCAAAGUCCCACACACCUGAUCAAAACAAGAGGACAGCAAGUGACUCUGAGAUGCUCUCCUAUCUCUGGGCACACCAGUGUGUCCUGGUACCAACAGGCCCCAGGGUUCCAAUUCUCCGACUAUCACUCUGAGAUGAACAUAAGCACCUUGGAGCUGGGGGACUCAGCCCUGUAUCUCUGUGCCAGCAGCUUGGCACAGCCCUGCAGAGUCACUGCAACUCUGUGCACCAACCUCUCUGCUUCAGUAUAUGGCAAUCUCAGAUCAGACAGCUGUGAGAACCUGGGGCCUUCAGGGGCAAAGAAAAACAAUUUCAGGACUCUGAACAAGUCUGGGGAAAGCAAGGCCAGGAGGAUCUGCUCAGAGGAUGCUGCUGCUUCGGGAGGUUCAUGGCAAAUUACCUUCUUUGCUGGAAGCUGC